RNAcentral lists this ribosomal RNA (436 nucleotides) under uncultured bacterium. Its description in RNAcentral is "bacterial SSU rRNA". It matches the Rfam family "Bacterial small subunit ribosomal RNA", at positions 28 to 462 of the family's 1533-position model. The record is from RNAcentral.
GAUGAACGCUGGCGGCGUGCUUAACACAUGCAAGUCGAACGGGAUCCAUCAGGCUUUGCUUGGUGGUGAGAGUGGCGAACGGGUGAGUAAUGCGUGACCGACCUGCCCCAUACACCGGAAUAGCUCCUGGAAACGGGUGGUAAUGCCGGAUGCUCCGACUCCUCGCAUGGGGUGUCGGGAAAGAUUCAUCGGUAUGGGAUGGGGUCGCGUCCUAUCAGGUAGUCGGCGGGGUAACGGCCCACCGAGCCUACGACGGGUAGCCGGCCUGAGAGGGCGACCGGCCACAUUGGGACUGAGAUACGGCCCAGACUCCUACGGGAGGCAGCAGUGGGGAAUAUCGCACAAUGGGCGCAAGCCUGAUGCAGCGACGCCGCGUGCGGGAUGACGGCCUUCGGGUUGUAAACCGCUUUUGAUCGGGAGCAAGCCUUCGGGUGAG